AAGGAGAAGGAGGGGAGAGGGCAUGUGGGAGAAGGGGAGAGGGCAUGUGGGAGAAGGGGUGAGGACAGUGAACAGACCGGGGAGUACCAGAAAGACCAGCUCUUCCCAAACAGCUUCUGCCAUGAUGCUUGCUUCAUGCUAAAUGACCCACAAACUUCAUUCAUGUGUGGGUUUGCCCUUGUGCCUUCUUGGUCCCCCAAGCAGGGACAGAGUUCUGUUCGGAGAAGCUGGAAUGGACCGAAAGCCAGGGAAGGAGCUGGUGGAAACCCAGGCAGGCCUCCCUCAAGUGGCAUGAUCUCAGGAAAUGGAAAUAUUGUACAAAGAAGCAAGAUGCCUGGCGCCAACUUCCAUGCUGUGCUGAAUGACAAAUCCAAGAUGGUUGGCCAGAACGCUCCACCCUGCAAUGGCAGACUAAACAGUGUUUUCAGUGCAGAUGGAACGUUCAUCAUAUGCUGGGCCAUGAAACUAGUCUCAAUAAAUCCAGCAGGAUUGAAAUCACAUACCGGGCUUCUCCAACAAAAUGCAAUUUAAUUAGAAAUCAGUAACUGAAACUGGAACUCUUCUACACUGCUGAGUCUCACCCUGAGGCCCAGGCCGGAGUG
Long non-coding RNA from Homo sapiens (human), 602 nucleotides. RefSeq lists it as uncharacterized. The record is from RefSeq and is a predicted model, not a curated record. NCBI's taxonomy places the organism in Eukaryota, Metazoa, Chordata, Mammalia, Primates, Hominidae. The transcript is spliced from 3 exons.